UACGUAGGGUGCGAGCGUUAAUCGGAAUUACUGGGCGUAAAGCGUGCGCAGGCGGUUAUAUAAGACAGAUGUGAAAUCCCCGGGCUCAACCUGGGAACUGCAUUUGUGACUGCAAGGCUAGAGUACGGCAGAGGGGGAUGGAAUUCCGCGUGUAGCAGUGAAAUGCGUAGAUAUGCGGAGGAACACCAAUGGCGAAGGCAAUCCCCUGGGCCUGCACUGACGCUCAUGCACGAAAGCGUGGGGAGCAAACAGG
This 253-nucleotide ribosomal RNA is filed under the name uncultured bacterium. RNAcentral's name for it is "partial 16S ribosomal RNA". It matches the Rfam family "Bacterial small subunit ribosomal RNA", at positions 524 to 776 of the family's 1533-position model. The record is from RNAcentral.